AUAGAGUAUAGUUAGUGGCAGACGGGUGAGUAAUGCAUAGGAAUCUACCUAGUAGUAUGGGAUAGCCACUAGAAAUGGUGGGUAAUACUGUAUAAUCCCUGCGGGGGAAAGAUUUAUCGCUAUUAGAUGAGCCUAUGUUAGAUUAGCUAGUUGGUAGGGUAAAGGCCUACCAAGGCGAUGAUCUAUAGCUGGUCUGAGAGGAUGAUCAGCCACACUGGAACUGAGAUACGGUCCAGACUCCUACGGGAGGCAGCAGUGGGGAAUAUUGGACAAUGGGCGCAAGCCUGAUCCAGCUAUGCCGCAUGAGUGAGGAAGGCCUUAGGGUUGUAAAACUCUUUCAGUAGGGAAGAUAAUGACGGUACCUACAGAAGAAGUCCCGGCAAACUCCGUGCCAGCAGCCGCGGUAAUACGGAGGGGGCAAGCGUUGUUCGGAAUUAUUGGGCGUAAAGGGCAUGUAGGCGGUUCGGUAAGUUAAAGGUGAAAUGCCAGGGCUUAAC
Molecule: ribosomal RNA, 497 nt
Filed under: Anaplasma phagocytophilum
Lineage: Bacteria; Pseudomonadati; Pseudomonadota; Alphaproteobacteria; Rickettsiales; Anaplasmataceae
Description: bacterial SSU rRNA
Rfam family: Bacterial small subunit ribosomal RNA
Source: RNAcentral